CUCAUUGUUUUUUCUGUUUUACUUGGAUUCAGGUAGAAUUAAAGGUUUAAUCACAAAUUCACCCUAAACUUUGUAGUUUAGAAAAUUUAGAGAGGAAAAAUAAUAUUUUUCUUCAUUUCCUCCUUCAGUAUCAUGGAGAAAUGAGUCCAUGUUAUUUGGUUAUCCAGUGGUGACUGUGCGCUUCAUUUCAUGCACUGCUUUAUGUGUGAGACUGCAGCGCCCUCUGGAGGAGUCAUCGGUUACUGUUAGAAAGAAAUGCCAUAAAGUCAUAAGAUAAGCAUGGCCGUUAUCGUGCUAUAGAGCCAGGACUGGUUUGCAAACAUGUCAUGGAUCACAGAAACACAUCCAAAGGCUACAUGGACAAUAAGAGCUACAGCACUACAUUUUAACUACAUCCAUGAAAACCCGAUCCUGAUCCCUUCCAGCACACCGUUACAGCGCAGCUGGUGCAUGACCAGAGGAUUCUCCAUCGCCCCAGGAGUCUUGGUCUCAUUGGGGAUGAUGCAGCGCACAAAAUGAGGAAACCGCUGCAAUGCUGGCAAAGUACUGGAUGACUCUCUUGGUGUUCACAGUCUUUCCUGCACCAGAUUCUCCACUGGGGAUAAAAACCAGUUAUGUAUGUGAGCUUGUGAGACAUCUCUGUCUUAAUAAUAAAAACAGAUCUGGUUAUCGGGACUGACUUACGUGA
This is a long non-coding RNA of Oreochromis aureus, 688 nucleotides long. RefSeq lists it as uncharacterized. The transcript is spliced from 5 exons. The record is from RefSeq and is a predicted model, not a curated record. Lineage: Eukaryota; Metazoa; Chordata; Actinopteri; Cichliformes; Cichlidae.